RNAcentral lists this ribosomal RNA (1151 nucleotides) under Paenarthrobacter aurescens. Its description in RNAcentral is "bacterial SSU rRNA". It matches the Rfam family "Bacterial small subunit ribosomal RNA", at positions 37 to 1193 of the family's 1533-position model. Lineage: Bacteria; Bacillati; Actinomycetota; Actinomycetes; Micrococcales; Micrococcaceae. The record is from RNAcentral.
UGGCGGGUGCUUACCAUGCAGUCGAACGAUGAUCUCCAGCUUGCUGGGGGGAUUAGUGGCGAACGGGUGAGUAACACGUGAGUAACCUGCCCUUGACUCUGGGAUAAGCCUGGGAAACUGGGUCUAAUACCGGAUAUGACCAUUCCACGCAUGUGGUGGUGGUGGAAAGCUUUUGCGGUUUUGGAUGGACUCGCGGCCUAUCAGCUUGUUGGUGGGGUAAUGGCCUACCAAGGCGACGACGGGUAGCCGGCCUGAGAGGGUGACCGGCCACACUGGGACUGAGACACGGCCCAGACUCCUACGGGAGGCAGCAGUGGGGAAUAUUGCACAAUGGGCGGAAGCCUGAUGCAGCGACGCCGCGUGAGGGAUGACGGCCUUCGGGUUGUAAACCUCUUUCAGUAGGGAAGAAGCGUAAGUGACGGUACCUGCAGAAGAAGCGCCGGCUAACUACGUGCCAGCAGCCGCGGUAAUACGUAGGGCGCAAGCGUUAUCCGGAAUUAUUGGGCGUAAAGAGCUCGUAGGCGGUUUGUCGCGUCUGCUGUGAAAGACCGGGGCUCAACUCCGGUUCUGCAGUGGGUACGGGCAGACUAGAGUGCAGUAGGGGAGACUGGAAUUCCUGGUGUAGCGGUGAAAUGCGCAGAUAUCAGGAGGAACACCGAUGGCGAAGGCAGGUCUCUGGGCUGUAACUGACGCUGAGGAGCGAAAGCAUGGGGAGCGAACAGGAUUAGAUACCCUGGUAGUCCAUGCCGUAAACGUUGGGCACUAGGUGUGGGGGACAUUCCACGUUUUCCGCGCCGUAGCUAACGCAUUAAGUGCCCCGCCUGGGGAGUACGGCCGCAAGGCUAAAACUCAAAGGAAUUGACGGGGGCCCGCACAAGCGGCGGAGCAUGCGGAUUAAUUCGAUGCAACGCGAAGAACCUUACCAAGGCUUGACAUGGACUGGAAAGAUCUGGAGACAGGUCCCCCGCUUGCGGUCGGUUCACAGGUGGUGCAUGGUUGUCGUCAGCUCGUGUCGUGAGAUGUUGGGGUUAAGUCCCGCAACGAGCGCAACCCUUCGUUCUAUGUUGGCCAGCGCGUUAUGGCCGGGGACUCAUAAGGAGACUGGCCGGGGUCAACUCCGGAAGGAAGGUGGGGGACAAAGUUCAAAUCAU